CCAAUAGCGUAUAUUAAAGUUGUUGCAGUUAAAAAGCUCGUAGUUGAAUUUCGGGAUCAAUAUAUCGGUCGUGCCUUGGUACGUACUGGUAUCAUUGGUUUCUCCUUCCUGACGAACCAUGAUGUCAUUAAUUUGGUGUUAUGGGAAGUUAGGACUGUUACUUUGAAAAAAUUAGAGUGUUUAAAGCAGGCGCACGCUUGAAUACAUUAGCAUGGAAUAAUGAAAUAGGACGUUUGAUUCUAUUUUGUUGGUUUCUAGGAUCGACGUAAUGAUUAAUAGGGAUAGUUGGGGGCAUUAGUAUUCAAUUGUCAGAGGUGAAAUUCUUGGAUUUAUUGAAGACUAACUACUGCGAAAGCAUUUGCCAAGGAUGUUUUCAUUAAUCAAGAACGAAAGUUAGGGGAUCGAAGACGUUCAGAUACCGUCGUAGUCUUAACCAUAAACUAUGCCGACUAGGGAUCGGAUGAUGUUAAUUUUAUAAUGACUCAUUCGGCGCCUUACG
This 499-nucleotide ribosomal RNA is filed under the name uncultured Glomeromycotina. RNAcentral's name for it is "partial small subunit ribosomal RNA". It matches the Rfam family "Eukaryotic small subunit ribosomal RNA", at positions 591 to 1092 of the family's 1831-position model. Lineage: Eukaryota; Fungi; Glomeromycota. The record is from RNAcentral.